RNAcentral lists this ribosomal RNA (253 nucleotides) under uncultured bacterium. RNAcentral's name for it is "partial 16S ribosomal RNA". It matches the Rfam family "Bacterial small subunit ribosomal RNA", at positions 524 to 776 of the family's 1533-position model. The record is from RNAcentral.
UACGGGGGGGGCAAGCGUUGUUCGGAAUUACUGGGCGUAAAGGGCUCGUAGGUGGCCAAUUAAGUCAGACGUGAAAUCCCCAGGCUCAACCUGGGAACUGCGUCUGAUACUGGUUGGCUUGAAUUCGGGAGAGGGAUGCAGAAUUCCAGGUGUAGCGGUGAAAUGCGUAGAUAUCUGGAGGAAUACCGGUGGCGAAGGCGGCAUCCUGGACCGAGAUUGACACUGAGGAGCGAAAGCCAGGGGAGCGAACGGG